UGCCUCCUGCGGGGCACGCGUGGCCGGGAUGAUUCCUGAACCAACAUUGUCUAUCCGGGGGAUCUUCAGUCAUCACCGUGGUGUGCAGCUCCUGCAUGGAGUAGCCUGAAGCGGUGUGUGGAUCCCCACCUGUGCAUCAGGUUCAUGGGGUAGCGGGCCGUACGACCCAGGCGGGAGGUCU
This 181-nucleotide non-coding RNA is filed under the name Acidithiobacillus ferrianus. RNAcentral's name for it is "6S / SsrS RNA". It matches the Rfam family "6S / SsrS RNA". From Rfam's summary of the family: E. coli 6S RNA was the first non coding RNA to be sequenced, but its function was unknown until recently. It consists of 184 nucleotides that fold into an extended hairpin structure with a large single-stranded internal bulge. The record is from Rfam by way of RNAcentral. Lineage: Bacteria; Pseudomonadati; Pseudomonadota; Acidithiobacillia; Acidithiobacillales; Acidithiobacillaceae.